This 253-nucleotide ribosomal RNA is filed under the name uncultured bacterium. RNAcentral describes it as "partial 16S ribosomal RNA". It matches the Rfam family "Bacterial small subunit ribosomal RNA", at positions 524 to 776 of the family's 1533-position model. The record is from RNAcentral.
GACGUAGGUGGCGAGCGUUGUUCGGAAUCACUGGGCAUAAAGCGCGCGUAGGCGGCUAGGUCAGUCAGGUGUGAAAGCCCCCGGCUCAACUGGGGAGGGUCACUCGAUGCUGAUCGACUCGAAGGCAGGAGAGGGAAGCGGAAUUCCCGGUGUAGUGGUGAAAUGCGUAGAUAUCGGGAGGAACACCAGUGGCGAAGGCGGCUUUCUGGCCUGCUCUUGACGCUGAGGCGCGAAAGCUAGGGUAGCAAACGGG